GAGCAGUUUGUGUCACAGAUGGCCGGAAGAGACUCUUUUGCCUGGUUACAGGCAUGUUUUUCUGCCAUCCUGUUGAAUUUUCCCAUCAACUCCUU
Non-coding RNA from Homo sapiens (human), 95 nucleotides. Lineage: Eukaryota; Metazoa; Chordata; Mammalia; Primates; Hominidae. The record is from RefSeq and is marked provisional.